CCUACGGGCGGCAGCAGUGAGGAAUAUUGGUCAAUGGGCGGGAGCCUGAACCAGCCAAGUCGCGUGAGGGAAGACGGUCCUAUGGAUUGUAAACCUCUUUAGGCGGGGAGCAAUGCCGGGCACGCGUGCCCGGAGGGAGAGUACCCGCAGAAUAAGCAUCGGCUAACUCCGUGCCAGCAGCCGCGGUAAUACGGAGGAUGCGAGCGUUAUCCGGAUUGAUUGGGUUUAAAGGGUGCGUAGGCGGAUUUUUAAGUCAGCGGUAAGCUGUCCGGGCUCAACCCGGGCCGGCCGUUGAAACUGGGGCUCUUGCGUGGGCGAGAAGUAUGCGGAAUGCGUGGUGUAGCGGUGAAAUGCAUAGAUAUCACGCAGAACUCCGAUUGCGACGGCAGCAUACCGGCGCCCGACUGACGCUGAGGCACGACAGCGUGUGGAUCGAACAGGAUUAGAUACCCCAGUAGUC
This 460-nucleotide ribosomal RNA is filed under the name uncultured bacterium. Its description in RNAcentral is "partial 16S ribosomal RNA". It matches the Rfam family "Bacterial small subunit ribosomal RNA", at positions 338 to 795 of the family's 1533-position model. The record is from RNAcentral.